GCCGUCGUGGCGCAAUGGUAGCGCAUCACCUUCCUACGGAGGCAGGUGGGGGUUGCGGGUUCGACCCCCGUCGACGGUA
Lactarius quietus is the source of this 79-nucleotide non-coding RNA. The record is from the annotation of a GenBank genome assembly. Lineage: Eukaryota; Fungi; Basidiomycota; Agaricomycetes; Russulales; Russulaceae.